AAAUCUCUUUUUGAAAAUAGAUCUCACUUGCAAAAGUUUCACUUGUUUAUCAUUUAAUCACAAUGAGGGACAAUCGGAGUGCGUUUUGAGCGACAGCAACCGAGGACUGUCGGGCCAAAUGAUCUAUUCGCCGGGCUGGACUUACUACGAGCGCAAAGUUUACUCUGUCAAUUGCAGCUCGAAUUUUGAAUGCCCCAGUGGAAAGUGCAUUAAUCAGACAUCCGUGUGUGAUGGACGUGACGACUGUGGGGACCGAUCUGACGAAUGCGAAAUUGUUUGCCAAUCUCAACUUGAUUUCCAAAUUAGAUUAGCUGGCUCCAACAAGACCAACGAAGGCCGCGUAGAAGUCAAAGUAUUUGGCCGAUGGGGAGCUAUCUGUGAUGACCAUUUCAGUGCAAAUGCUGCCAACGUGAUUUGUCGCCAGUUAGGGUUCCCCUUAGG
Daphnia pulex (common water flea) is the source of this 441-nucleotide long non-coding RNA. RefSeq lists it as uncharacterized. NCBI's taxonomy places the organism in Eukaryota, Metazoa, Arthropoda, Branchiopoda, Diplostraca, Daphniidae. The record is from RefSeq and is a predicted model, not a curated record. The transcript has 3 exons.